GGUAGACGCUACGGACUUAAAUAAUUUGAGCGUUAGUAGAAAAACUUACUAAAUGCUAGCUUUCAGAUUCAGGGAAACUUAGGUUGAUAAAAAUAUAAGCAAUCCUGAGCCAAAUCUUAUUUCGUUUGAAAAUAAAAUAGGUGCAGAGACUCAAUGGAAGCUAUCCUAACGAAUAACAUUUUAAAAAUUAUUUAAAAUUUAUUUUUUAGAUAUUAAGCGAGGAUAAAGAUAGAGUCCAAUUUUACAUGUUAAUUUUAGCAACAAUUUAAAUUGUAGUAGAAAGAAAAUCCGUUGGCUUUAUUGACCGUGAGGGUUCAAGUCCCUCUACCCCCA
RNAcentral lists this transfer RNA (333 nucleotides) under Sarmentypnum exannulatum. RNAcentral describes it as "partial tRNA-Leu". The stretch from base 9 to 258 matches the Rfam family "Group I catalytic intron". Rfam says of the family: Group I catalytic introns are large self-splicing ribozymes. They catalyse their own excision from mRNA, tRNA and rRNA precursors in a wide range of organisms. Lineage: Eukaryota; Viridiplantae; Streptophyta; Bryopsida; Hypnales; Amblystegiaceae. The record is from RNAcentral.